GUGUAAGAGGAGCAGGCACCAGUGCAGCCAGCAGAAGAGGCAGCUGUGGGGCUCUGCAAGCUUCCUGCAGUGUCUGGAAGUACAGAGACUGUAGCUGAGGGAAAGUGAGGAGCUCUCUGCCCAGGAGCACGGCUUGGCCAGAGGACCCACGGUGGCGGGCAGGGGGCGGCACACAGGAAGGGCUUACCUUGCAGAGCCUGCAGGAGCUGUCUCCAGUGCUGGAAGGAAGGAAGAUGCUCCAAUCUGCUGCGGUGCCCAGCUCUGCCAGCCUGCAGCAGCACAAGCAGGAGUCUGAGCUGGGAUUCAUCUUAACUCUUUGCAUCUGGGGACCUUUCUUCCUACCAACGUAAGGAACACUUGCAGUAGAG
This is a long non-coding RNA of Apus apus (common swift), 368 nucleotides long. RefSeq lists it as uncharacterized. The record is from RefSeq and is a predicted model, not a curated record. Lineage: Eukaryota; Metazoa; Chordata; Aves; Apodiformes; Apodidae. The transcript has 3 exons.